This is a long non-coding RNA of Mesocricetus auratus (golden hamster), 348 nucleotides long. RefSeq lists it as uncharacterized. The record is from RefSeq and is a predicted model, not a curated record. Lineage: Eukaryota; Metazoa; Chordata; Mammalia; Rodentia; Cricetidae. The transcript is spliced from 3 exons.
AUGUUAUAAUAGGCACCCUAUGCAUCUGUGGAGGCACACCUAAUCAGAAGCAGGAUUUCUGGGCCAUAAAUUCUGUGUCUCACUGUUAAUUUUGGGAAGACAGAUUAUUGAAAUGAAACAUUUUUACUCAUCUGACUGCUCAUGUCUGACAAAGCUGUCAUAUUCAGAAUACACGAAGAAUUCUUAGAAAUAAACAGUACAAAGAAAAACAACACCAUAAAAAUCGACAAAGCAGGGCCAGUGAGGUUUGUACAUACGAGUGUAGGAGCCUGAGGAGGCCAGAGGCACCAGAUUUCCCAGAGUUGGAGUUGCAGGCAGUUGUGAACCAACUGGGAGUGUAUCAGCUCU